UUCUCCAAAUAAACUGAAAACAAAACUACUUUAAAAAAAGGAAAAAGAAAAAUGUCCACAAUAAGUGAAAAAUGUUAAAUGUGGUAUGAGGUAUGGUUACAUUUUUGUAAUGAUUGGGUAAAUCACUGAAAGAGAAAUGCAAAAGAAGGUUUAGGUUCACUGUAUUGAGGCAAGGGAAAUAUAAUAAUGGCUUUUGUUUCCUAUUUUCCUCUUUGUUACAUUUUCUAAAUUUUCCAGCAUAAACAUGCUUUACUUACAUAAUAAAAAACAGAAAAUAAGUGACGUUGAAAGGAAAGACAGCAAAAAUAAAGUUCCAGUCUACAUAAAUAGCAGCAGCCUGUUUCCCAGGCUUCACCAGGCAAGGGGACAUCUUCUUGGUGUCACAGGGUGCACCCCUUUCAGCACACUCCCUAUUUUUACCACAUUCCAGUAAAACCAAAACAUGGCCAAGGCGGAGAGGGUAGUACCCAGGGCCACGUUUCUUAAAAAAGUAUUAAUGUUGGUCCCCACUGUGACCUACAUAGUUUCUCUUUACAUUAAAAUUUUUUUUUCAAUAAUCCACUUCAUUCCUUCCAAAGCACAGUGCCCCAUUUCUAUCUAGAUUACAAAAUGUGUUCAGGGAAGAGGUUUUCUGACUUAGUAGUCGGACACUUGUAGUGUCUCCUACCUCGAUCACAUUGCCCUGGUUUUAGUCUUAGCCAAGAUGGACAUUUCUGGUAAUGCUGACAGCUCCCGCUUCAUUCAUCAAAUGCAUACCUCUCUGCUUUUCUGCCUCCAAAGUAGGUAGCAGAAGGUAACGCCCCUGGGGACAACCUUCAACAAUGAGGGAUCAGUGGAUAAAUGCCCCAGUUUCUGGGUCCCAGCAUGCCGGCAGAGAUGAACACCAGUUGCCCAGAGAGGCCAUCUUUCUUGGCUCUUUCUCCUUCCCUUCUUCCCCUCUUCCUUCUCUCCCUCUUCCUGGAAACCUCCUCCCAAAUUAACUUCCUGCACCCAAAAUCUUGUUUCAGAUUCUGCUUCAGAGGAACUCAAACUGAGAGAGCUCAUAAGCAAAUAUAAAACCAAUAAAAAGAAUUAUACCACAGAGCCCCAGAAAGCUCUCAAAGAUGCUGUGAAACAGAGUUCAUCCGUUUCUAGAAUACAUUCCCUCAUCGUACAUCUAUUUAGUAGGCUUCUACAUUGGGCCACACACACGCUAGGUGCAAAAUGAACUGCAGAAACACAGUCUAUACCCGUGGAAGACACAAGAUGCUCAACAGUCACCAAGCCCACUAUACUAUGAGAGUAUAGGAAAAUAUAAGAAAGAUUAAUAUUGGGGAGGAAAAACGAUCUUCCUCUUUCUGAAUUUUUAGCAGAGACCCCUGUAGUGAAAGAUUAACAGGAGAAAAACCAGCAGAAUUUAUUAACAGGUAUACCGCAUGCAAACGUGGGAGGUACCCAGGGAAAAACGAGUCACUCGAAGAAGUAGCUUAGAAUUCAGGCUUAGAUAUCAUCUUAGUAGGGAAAGGGGCGGAGCAUGGAGGCUCCUCCAGGAACAGCAAAUAAUUUGUAGGAAACAUGAAUGGGUGCUUAGAAGGUAUGAGGUAGUCUCACAAGGAGGUAUGAGAGUUUGUGACAAAGUCUAUAUGGGUGUGGUGUUGACCUCCAGUCUCCUCUGCAUUCUCUGCAGUGGUGAAGACCAUCUUCCCUGGUUGGUGAAACUCCCAGGGAAGCACCUAUGCCAGCUGGAAUUUUCAAGAGAACUUGUCUUAAGGCAGUGUGGUCUUGGCUCAUGUACCUGCUAGGGACUACUACGUACAUGUGACAGAACCCUGAUCCAGCAAACCGAAGUUAAUAUGAAAGGAAGAAAGAAACAUGGUUCCUGGCCAGCAGUUUCAUACAUGCGUGGGGCUGUUUCCAAGAGGCAGUGGAGUAAAGAUGAAGGUAAACCCGACAAGAACAUCCGGGAGCCUGGAGGAAUGCCGUCA
Molecule: long non-coding RNA, 1964 nt
Organism: Leopardus geoffroyi (Geoffroy's cat)
Lineage: Eukaryota; Metazoa; Chordata; Mammalia; Carnivora; Felidae
Exons: 3
Source: RefSeq, a predicted model, not a curated record